Neisseria elongata subsp. glycolytica ATCC 29315 is the source of this 107-nucleotide small RNA. It matches the Rfam family "RT-1 RNA". Rfam says of the family: Neisseria elongata (Betaproteobacteria). Nearby to self-splicing intron genes Lineage: Bacteria; Pseudomonadati; Pseudomonadota; Betaproteobacteria; Neisseriales; Neisseriaceae. The record is from Rfam.
AGACUGUCAAGGUCAAGGUAGGCUUGGAAACUUGCCGCCAACCAAGACAGGGCUAUCCACAGGAAAUGUAUGAUGAUUAUUGUCAUAUUUUCAUCCUUGAUAGUUAU